CUCGUAGGCGGUUCAGUAAGUCGGGUGUGAAAACUCUGGGCUCAACCCAGAGACGCCACCCGAUACUGCUGUGACUUGAGUACGGUAGGGGAGUGGGGAAUUCCUGGUGUAGCGGUGAAAUGCGCAGAUAUCAGGAGGAACACCAGUGGCGAAGGCGCCACUCUGGGCCGUAACUGACGCUGAGGAGCGAAAGCGUGGUAGCAAACA
This 207-nucleotide ribosomal RNA is filed under the name uncultured bacterium. RNAcentral's name for it is "partial 16S ribosomal RNA". It matches the Rfam family "Bacterial small subunit ribosomal RNA", at positions 568 to 774 of the family's 1533-position model. The record is from RNAcentral.